GACGAACGCUGGCGGCGUGGAUUAGGCAUGCAAGUCGAACGGUAGGGAUCCUUCGGGAUUCUGAGAGUGGCGAACGGGUGAGUAACACGUAGGUGAUCUACCCUCAAGACGGGGACAACCCAGGGAAACUUGGGCUAAUACCGGAUGAUAGUGCUCUUAGGAGCAUUUAAAAGAUGGCUUCGGCUGUCGUUUGGGGAUGAGCCUGCGCUCUAUUAGUUAGUUGGUGAGGUAACGGCUUACCAAGGCGAUGAUAGAUAGGCGGCCUUAACGGGUGGUCGCCCACACUGGGAUUGAGAUACGGCCCAGACUCCUACGGGUGGCAG
RNAcentral lists this ribosomal RNA (323 nucleotides) under uncultured Spirochaetota bacterium. RNAcentral's name for it is "bacterial SSU rRNA". It matches the Rfam family "Bacterial small subunit ribosomal RNA", at positions 28 to 351 of the family's 1533-position model. Lineage: Bacteria; Pseudomonadati; Spirochaetota. The record is from RNAcentral.